RNAcentral lists this long non-coding RNA (199 nucleotides) under Elaeis guineensis (African oil palm). Its description in RNAcentral is "long non-coding RNA (EGUI_LNC042185)". The record is from RNAcentral. Lineage: Eukaryota; Viridiplantae; Streptophyta; Magnoliopsida; Arecales; Arecaceae.
UGGCAAACGACCGGGUCCCACACCGAAGCAUUUGUUUUCCGAGCACAUGGGUGUAGGUCCGAGGGCCCCACACGUAUGGUGACGUCACUCUGGAGAUUCGUGCACCUGGGAAUGUGGGCCCUGCCUGUGGAGCCAAUAAAACGUCAACCCCGCGGCUUCAAAAUUGAUGCGUGUGGGACCAAAAAAUGACGAUAAACAA